CACAAAAUACAAAAAUUGUUGGAAGCUUGAAAGGGAAGCCAAGUUUGCCCAUUUCUCGUAGCAAUUUACAGCAACCUAGCAUCGUCACGUCUGAAACGUAGCCUCCAAUGUAGAUCUAUUUACUGUGGGUUUCCCUUGUGAAAAAGAAUGGCUAGCUCCAAGCCUGAGAACAAACAAACUGAGGUAUACAUCGUUUGUCAACGAUGCUGUCAGCCAUUAGUUUUGCAUCCCUCAUUCCACACAGUUGAAUCAGAAGAACUUCAACGCCUAGCAGCACCCCUUGUUCCUGAAGAAGAAGCUGCAAGCUUUACCGGUGAAUCUUCUGCACGGCAGCCACAAGCAGGGGCGGCAGCAGCAACAUCCAGUGAUGGUGUCAUUCGCCGCAAUGUCUCAAGAAUGAAGUAGGU
Molecule: long non-coding RNA, 407 nt
Organism: Sycon ciliatum
Lineage: Eukaryota; Metazoa; Porifera; Calcarea; Leucosolenida; Sycettidae
Exons: 3
Source: RefSeq, a predicted model, not a curated record